AUGUCAAUCCUCGUAGUCAUGCAGUUUUUCAUGUUUGCCUCCCUUUGCCUCCCAUGUUCGGCCAACACCAUGCAUGCAGCCACUGACCACCAAGCGCUCAUGUCAUUGAGAUCUGUGAUCAAAGAAGAUCCGUUCCAAGCACUGAAUUCAUGGGGAAACCAGUCAAUCCCUAUGUGCCAAUGGCGCGGAGUGGCCUGUGGCACGCGCGGCCACCGCCGUGGCCGUGUCGUAGCACUGGAUCUUCAUGGGCUCAACCUUCUUGGCACCAUUUCCUCUUCCAUAGGUAAUCUAACUUACCUCAGGCAUUUUGGCCUCCAAGAGAACCGCUUUUAUGGUACCAUACCAACAGAGGUUGGGCAUCUUGUACAACUCAAGUAUCUGAAUGUCAGCAGGAACUCCAUCGGCAGGGAGAUCCCGCCGACACUGGCCACUUGUGUUCAGCUUCGAGUUAUUGAUUUGAGGCACAACAUGCAUAAAGGCUCAGUGCCUCGGGAGUUGGAAUCCCUGGAUAAUCUUGAGGUACUGGCUCUUGGGUACAACAACCUUACAGGAAGUAUUCCUGUGGAGAUUGGAAACCUGAAAGCCCUGAAGUAUCUUCAUCUGAGAGCAAACAUGCUAGUAGGAGAAAUACCAAUGGAGAUUGGAAAUCUUAGAAACUUGACCGAUUUAUAUCUUAAUUUCAAUGGUCUGUCAGGUUCUGUUCCUGCAUCUCUUGGAGGCCUCCAGAAAUUGCAGAUUCUGUAUCUAUCGGGAAACCAGCUCUCAGGGCUUAUUCCACCUUCCCUAGGAAACCUCUCAUCUCUACUAGUUCUAGAUGUCCAAAAUAAUGGCCUAACUGGAAGCAUCCCUGAAUCGUUAGGAAAUCUGAAUCUCCUCAACGUCCUUUCUCUCACAUCUAAUAGUUUUACAGGCUCAAUCCCUCACACUCUUGGAAAACUAAGUUCUCUCGUUGAGUUUUAUCUGAAUGGGAAUCAACUCGAGGGUUCUAUACCACCUUCUGUCUAUAAUCUUUCAUCCCUCCAAUAUUUUGUAGUGGAAGUCAACAACCUCAGUGGAUCUGUUUCAGAUGACUUGGGUAAUAAGUUUCCACAACUGAAGCAACUUAGCAUAGGCCAUAAUCAAUUUCAUGGGUCCAUCCCAGAGUCUUUGUGCAAUGCUUCGAUGCUUGAAAUCGUUCAAUUGGCUCACACCUUUAUUUCCGGCGUAAUACCAAAAUGUCUUGGAGCUAAUAUGAAGAGCUUAUUGGUAUUGUUUCUCCAAUCUGGUCAGCUAGAGGCAAGGAAUGACGCUGAUUUGGACUUCAUUUCUAGCCUGACAAAUUGUAGUAUGCUGCAGUACCUAGAUCUAGGCAAUAACAAACUAGAAGGGGUGCUACCAAAUUCAAUAGCAAAUCUUUCCACAAACUUAAUAAUUCUCGGCUUGGCAAACAACAUGCUACGGGGAAAUAUACCUGAAGGAAUUGGAAACCUUGUCAACUUGCAACACUUGCACUUGGAAGAUAAUUUGCUACAUGGAAAAAUUCCUGAGUCGAUUGGCAACCUUGCAAUCCUGGGUGAACUAUACUUGUCAAACAACAGUUUAUCUGGACCAAUUCCACCAAAACUUUGA
Molecule: ribosomal RNA, 1608 nt
Filed under: Triticum aestivum (bread wheat)
Lineage: Eukaryota; Viridiplantae; Streptophyta; Magnoliopsida; Poales; Poaceae
Description: partial small subunit ribosomal RNA
Source: RNAcentral